CUGGAUUGCUGAAGCGCCUGGGCCAACAGUUGGGUCUGCAAUGGGUUGGUACCCCCCUGACCAGGCCACCUGGAAGCUGUCGGUCAGUUGAACAACAAACACUUAAUGACUGACCCUACUGCUGACUCUGCGUUGGCAGCCUCCGCCCCUUUCUCCAUUUCUAGCUGAUGCUAUUUGAGGCCUAUGAGGGAUGAGAGCUUGGUGCGCAUUUGCCUGUGAAGCCUGGCACCUGAACUCAGCACUCUGCAACCCACAAUUACAACUGCUUUAAAGACAACCACCUCCUUCUGGCCCCCACCAUCAUGGCGCAGCAGAAAAGCAUGAUGCGCUGGGAGUAAGAUAUAGACACGGUGCGGUGGACGUGGAGGUGUGCUGCCCAGAUGUCCCUCCCGGGAAGGACUGGUGGUCCCAGUUCUGGGAGUGCUGUCAGCAGGUGCUUGUCAACUGUCAGCCCUUCGAGGCCUCCGUCAGCUGCAGAGGGCCGUCUCCCCCGGGGGGGCCGUGUCCGCAUCCAAUGACCGAUUGAGGCAAGUGUAUAAAAGCCCAGCUAUUCGGCCCAGUGCCGGACAACUCAGACGGGCUUCCCAGUCCUGCCUCCUGUCCCUUCCUUCCACAGGUGCUAAUCCUAAGGGCAUUCCCUAAUAAACACCCAAAGCCUUAAUUCCCUUUCGGAGGCUGCUUUCUGGAGAGCGCAACCUGCCACAAAUGAGUAUGAAUUUCAGAUCAACUACUUAGGAACGCUGUGACUUUGGGGAAACCAUGACCUAUUUCCUGUAAGACUCAAUUUCCUUAUCUGCAAAAUGGGAAUAAUGGUAACUUCUUCAUAGGAUCAUGGUGAGGAGGCUGGCCUCUGACAUCCAUUUCUGAUACGAAAUUCCAGGACUUUAAGGAGAAGUUGGAGUUUUAUCUCUGUCGUCGGUGUUUUGAACAGAAAAUAGAGGAUUUUUAGGGUGUAGAUAGAGUUUUCGUUUAUUUUUUCUUUUCAGUUGAUUUUGGAAGAAAAAUGAUGAAGGGGAGGAAGAGUUGGCUUUUGUUGUUGGGUUAGAGGAGUGAGAUUAGAUUUCUUGGAAAAUAGUCAAACAUACCAGAGUGGAUCUUUCAAUGACUGGCAAGAAUUUGCUUGGCAGGAAAAUUGCUGACUUGAUGAAGAGGGCUUCUCCACUCAAUUUUCCGGAGGAGGGAGAAAAAGAUCUUGGCAAACCAGCUUAAUGCCCCAUCGUGAAGAUGCCUGCUCCCUUUGAGCUGGAUUAGUUGCUGCCGUCCCUGUUUCCACAGAAAGCUGGAGCCAAGGGCUAGGAGAAAGGCCAAAGGGCCCAUGCAGGAGCAGCAGCGCAUACAGGAUGGACAUUUAAUAAGUGCAUGAAUGAAUGAAUGAAAGUAAGACCAACUAAUAGGACUGAGGUCAGCCGAGAACUGUAUGUUCCUCAAAGCUUCAGUGAGAUGAUACAGCCCACAGCUCAGAGGUCCAUUGGGAUCAGUCAUAGACCUUACUCUGCCUGGGCCGGAGACUGCCAGCUCCAACUGACCUAGAACACUGCCCCCCAAACAAGCUUUGCUCUCCACCUCAUCCACCAAGGAGCUGCAUGCCUUCCUGUCACAGAUCAGUUGGCAUCUGGGAGAAAAGAGCACGAGGAGGAGAGCCCUACUGAACGUAUAGAAAAACACUUUUUAUAAGGAAUGAAAUCACAACAGCAUUGCAAAGCAAGAGAACAUGCCAUUGGCAGAACAGAAAAUUUGAGGGACUCCUGGAAGAUAAAAAUUAGACAGGAUCAAUAUAUAAAUUGACAGAGAAAUCAGAACAACAACAACAAAAACACUAGAACCAAAACAUCAAAGACAUGUUCCCUCUAAGGGACACCAGGAAGCUCUGCAGUCCCAAUCAGCGACUGGGAAAAGCAGGGGUGGCUUGUAAAGUAGUAACAGGGCAAGGAACUGGCAUGAACAGGGCACUUGGAGCCCAGGAUCAACCACGCCUUCCUCAAACAGGGCGGACGGAAUGUCUACCACUGCGGCCAACCCCGAGUAUCCCCUCCGAAAAAGGGAUGAUUCCUCUGGAAUGGAGGUUGGGCCCGAUGAAUAAACAGAACCCAGCCUGAUCUAGUACCAGGUGUCUACAGCAGACACUAAGGAAGAAAACCAGCUGACUCCAAG
Long non-coding RNA from Equus caballus (horse), 2151 nucleotides. Lineage: Eukaryota; Metazoa; Chordata; Mammalia; Perissodactyla; Equidae. The record is from Ensembl.